RNAcentral lists this ribosomal RNA (119 nucleotides) under Pteropus alecto (black flying fox). Lineage: Eukaryota; Metazoa; Chordata; Mammalia; Chiroptera; Pteropodidae. The record is from RNAcentral.
GCCUACUGCCAUGCCACCCUGAACAAGCCCGAUCCCGGCUGAUCAUGGAAGCUAAGCAGGGUCGGGCCUGGUUAGUACUUGGAUGGGAGACCACCUAGGAAGACCGGGUGCUGUAGGCG